GCCUGCCCAGUGACAAUGUUAAACGGCCGCGGUAUUUUGACCGUGCGAAGGUAGCGCAAUCACUUGUCUUUUAAAUGAAGACCUGUAUGAAUGGUGAAACGAGGGCUUAACUGUCUCCCUUUUCUAGUCAAUGAAAUUGAUCUGCCCGUGCAGAAGCGGACAUAAAAAUACAAGACGAGAAGACCCUUUGGAGCUUAAGAUAUAAAGAUCAUCUAUGUCAAUGGGCCCCAACACGGCAACAAACUAAAUAGCAACUGAUCUUAAUCUUCGGUUGGGGCGACCACGGGAGAAAAUAAAGCUCCCACGCGGACUGGGGUAAACCCUAAAACCAAGAAAAACAUUUCUAAGCAACAGAACUUCUGACCAUUAAGAUCCGGCUACACGCCGACCAACGGACCAAGUUACCCUAGGGAUAACAGCGCAAUCCCCUUUCAGAGUCCAUAUCGACAAGGGGGUUUACGACCUCGAUGUUGGAUCAGGGCAUCCUAAUGGUGCAGCCGCUAUUAAGGGUUCGUUUGUUCAACGAUUAAAGUCCUACGUGAUCUGAGUUCACACCGG
This 558-nucleotide ribosomal RNA is filed under the name Glyptothorax maceriatus. RNAcentral describes it as "partial 16S ribosomal RNA". It matches the Rfam family "Bacterial large subunit ribosomal RNA", at positions 1857 to 2619 of the family's 2925-position model. Lineage: Eukaryota; Metazoa; Chordata; Actinopteri; Siluriformes; Sisoridae. The record is from RNAcentral.